UACGUAGGGGGCAAGCGUUGUCCGGAUUCAUUGGGCGUAAAGCGCGUGUAGGCGGCUCGGCAGGUCCGAUGUGAAAACUCGGUGGCUCAACCUCGAGACGUCAUUGGAAACCGCCGGGCUAGAGUCCGGGAGAGGAGAGUGGAAUUCCUGGUGUAGCGGUGAAAUGCGCAGAUAUCAGGAAGAACACCGAUGGCGAAGGCAGCUCUCUGGAACGGUACUGACGCUGAGACGCGAAAGCGUGGGGAGCGAACAGG
This 254-nucleotide ribosomal RNA is filed under the name uncultured bacterium. RNAcentral describes it as "partial 16S ribosomal RNA". It matches the Rfam family "Bacterial small subunit ribosomal RNA", at positions 524 to 776 of the family's 1533-position model. The record is from RNAcentral.